Oncorhynchus keta (chum salmon) is the source of this 1715-nucleotide long non-coding RNA. RefSeq lists it as uncharacterized. The transcript has 3 exons. Lineage: Eukaryota; Metazoa; Chordata; Actinopteri; Salmoniformes; Salmonidae. The record is from RefSeq and is a predicted model, not a curated record.
UCAAAUAGAUUUAGAGAUCACAGGUGGAACACAAUUUCCCUUGCACGUUCUAACCACUAGAUGUCAGCAGAUAGCAAAGGCAGGAUAAUUUGAAUGACUUGCUACUGCUGUUCUGAUAUUGAUGAUAUCUGUGAGCCCAUAUAGAUCUGUUAGGGUUGGUUUGCUUUCGCACUGUGGGUGUAAUUGAGCAAUUUGCAUAACUACCCUUGACUUGAGCAACUUAUCUACAUUGUUUAUAUUGAUUUUAAAACAAUCAAGCUAAUUGAAAAAUUGACAGAAGCAUUUGGAGUCCCCUUUUUUGAAACCGAUCGUAUUUUUCUAUUGCGCUCCGAAUUGGAAUGUUUUGAGAAAAAUGUUUGCUAACUCCGCUGCUAAGGAAUGAGAGUGUGUUUUCAUGUUAGCUGCUGUAGCUAGCUAGGGUAAUUGUGCCACUAACUUUGUCAAACAACCAAAAUUAGCCGUGUUCAGUACACCAAUACAGCCCUUGCAUACAUGCAAAGGUGAAUGUGAGAAACCACCUGAAAAGAAGAACAUCAACCGCAGCCGGUAUGAACCAUUUGUUCUCCCGUGCAUUGCAGAGUUUCUCGAGUUUCUCGGGACAGCCUUCUUCAUCUUCACCAAUUGGUUUCAGUGAUCAAAAACCCAACGGACACCGGUAGACUGCUGCCAGCUGUGGCAUAUGGGGUUGCUCUGUCCAUCUGCAUAGCCAUCACAACAGCAGUGAGGUUGUGGAGGCCACUUACUAACGGUCUGCAACGUCAACAGGCAGAGCAAGACCCUCAUAGAACCUUUCUGCAUCCGACUGACUGUCACCGUCGGUAUUCUGGGAAGGCUCCCUCCUGGGGGACCCAAGAAUAUGACUCAUCAUGAAGAAGAUAACCAGCACUUGUUUGAACUGUGAAACACUGAGGUGUAGUUUAUGCACCGAUGCGUCUGGGAGUAAACAUAUUACCUAUCAACUUGGAUAUGAUACGUUUUCUUAUGCAUGCUCUCUGACAUAAAGGCUGUCAGGAAGAUAUGACACCCAUGUUAUAUUAUAAACUCAGAUUAAAUAGGUAGGCCUACCAUCACAUCUUAACACUAUGUACUGUAACUAACUAUCUUUGUCCAUCUGCGACAGUACCAGUUGAUCUUUGUGUCCUCUGCUAGCUGAGUGCCCUCCACACCAAACCACUGUUGAGACCAUUCAUUCCUCUGCUUCCUCUUUAGCCUCAGAUGCUAACAGCUAUUUCCUCUCUGAGAUCCAGCAUUCUCUGUCCGACACUCCUUUACGGAGCGACGCACACGUGGUGAAUCGUCUCCCUAGACACAGAUGGGUCCUCAGACGUCCGUGUUUUUGAAUGUCACACCGAGUCCUGGAGGCUCCCUGCCUGGCCCGCCUGGGCCCGUCUGACUGAUUAUUACUAUCGUUGGUCUGUCAGCAUCAAUGGGAAAUGAUAUUGGCCCACAGUCGUAUCAGACCUCGCAUGUUAUUGAUACGACUGUUAAACUCCACAGCCCAGCUGCCCGCCCGCCUCCUACCAGGGUGCAAUUAAAUCUACAUGCCUCUCGCUUCUGUUUGUGUGACAGAGAGUAAUGGGACCAAUAGUUAACGGUAACUAAAAAUAAUGUGAUGCAUCAUGCCUUAUAUUACAAACACACACCACAGCGUCACAUAUGGGUUAUUACCAAAUGUGAUCUAUUUAAUUCUAGUCUUGUCAGGUUUUCCCAGCAUA